Papaver somniferum (opium poppy) is the source of this 183-nucleotide long non-coding RNA. RefSeq lists it as uncharacterized. The record is from RefSeq and is a predicted model, not a curated record. NCBI's taxonomy places the organism in Eukaryota, Viridiplantae, Streptophyta, Magnoliopsida, Ranunculales, Papaveraceae. The transcript is spliced from 3 exons.
AAAAUCGCCACAAUAAUAGGGAUUUUCCGGUGUAGAAUGAUUGCUCUCACAGAUGCUUUGGAUUAAUGGCAGGGGCAUCAAGAAUGCCAAUUAUGUGCUUCCAGUUUAGUUUUUUGGUUGUCGAUUAACUGAUUUAUUGGUGGAGACCGCGACAGAGCAGGAUGGCUCAGUCAGUAAUAUCAC